GCGAGGCUCAUUUGAACGAUUUGUAUUUCAAUAACACAGGAUGAACUUCAAUACCGCUAAUCGACCAUCAAUUGUGCGAUUAGGUAUGUUCAAUAACAACACGUCAUUAUAUAUUCCGCCAAGUGAAAAUCAGUGGCGCGAAACAAAUUUCAAUAGCAUUUAUUGGUAAUCAUUAACGUUUUUAAAACUUCAAUAGAAUUAAAUCAAAAGACAUUUAAUAGCAACAAAUAUUCAUUAAUAUAAAGUCAGAGACGUGACGUUCUAACAAAUAUUUUGAAUGUUUUUAUGUUCACACAACAACAAAGAAUGUCAUAGUUUUUAGCCCUGGAUAUGUUCCCUUGCAAGACAUCUUGGUAAGUAUGUCUGUAUACGUCUGCACCAAGCGGUACAUUUUUGCAACUUGAUCGAGGGCAUAUUCCUUUCCCAGCCGCUAUCAAUAUUUGUUUUCAAAAUUCACCAAAUGGUAGCUGUGCAUUUCUUGUGGCUUGCCUGUCAUUCAUUCGAUAUUAAAUCUGAGCACGAGAAAUUUCUGCCUUAUUGUUUGCCUUAAGACAGCCGAAUGCUUUUUCUACAGGAUUCAAGAAUGGGCUUAUACGAGUUAGAAUCUUUGUCUGGAUAUCCCUAGCUGGGUCUUGUGCUCUCCUAUGCGAUGUCGUUCCGUCAAAAAUUGGGAAAUGAGUUUCGUUGUCAUUCCAUAGUGCCGUAUUUACGAGGAAUUCGUCGAACAAUUCACGUGUCAUACCUUCCAUUUGAAUUAGGACGCUGUACGACACUAAUGUAUGGUUAUAUUUCUCCCUUUCUAUCCGCAUACUUGACGGCAGGCUCUAUCUCCUCAACGUGAAUAACCUGCGAUCAGGCUUAUAAAUAAAUAAAUAGGCCUGGCCUGA
Paramuricea clavata is the source of this 887-nucleotide non-coding RNA. Lineage: Eukaryota; Metazoa; Cnidaria; Anthozoa; Malacalcyonacea; Plexauridae. The record is from the annotation of a GenBank genome assembly.